UAAGCGAAGGAGAAACAGGAAGCAUCCGUUUUUCCCCAUUCGCCUCCUCCAGCGGCAGAAUGUGAGCCACCAGCAAGGAGGGAUGCCAAUAAGUUAAUUGAUGUGGGUGAUAGAGUCCACUAUGGGGGCACAGUGCCCUAGCAAGGAUGGUCCUGAAUUGUACAAGAUUGGAGAAAUGGAACUGACAACAAGCAACUACAACUGAGGUAUGACCUGACCCAUCCACCAUUAUGAGUCAAAGAACCUCCAAGACACUGCUGAGUUCCUUCUGAAUUGGCCAUCCAUUGCUGGGCAUGGGGUCUAACCUCCAGAGUGAUUUGCUUCCCCAAAGAGACUCCCUUGGAGAAAUCUAACUUUUCACUUGCAAAUGAUUAUCAAUUGGAGAAAGCUUCUGGGUUAAGGAUGGAUGUGUGUAUCCAUUUCCACUCUUAGCACUGGGACCCCAUCUGGUGCAGACAUGUAAAAGUCCUGUAUAUACUGCCACAGUUUCUGUGAAUUCAUAUGUAUGCCAGUCACUCCAUGUAUAGAAGAUUUUGUUUCCAUGGUGCCUCCUGCCUCUUCUACUCCUCCCACUUUCUCUUCUGCAAGUUCCCAGAAGGGAAGCAUAAAUACAACAGAAAUGGUUAGAAGAUGAAGGAGGAGGAGGAGGAGGAGGAGGAGGAGGAGGAGGAGGAGGAGGAGGAGGAGAAGAAGAAGAAGAAGAAGAAGAAGAAGAAGAAGAAGAAGAAGAAGAAGAAGAAGAAGAAGAAGAAGGUUAUUAUAAAACAAUCCUUGAAAACAUAGAAUCUGGCCCCAGUGGACUCAGAAGACAGAAGAAUUCAAACUGGUGGCAUUUCUGUCCUUAAAAGAAACAGGAAUGAAACACUCUACAUAUGCAAGAACAUCCAUCCACCAUGAGCCUCUCUUCUGAAGGGUCCAUAGGAAGGUGAGGCAGAGAAGCAUGGCUGCCUGCAAUGCCAGGUUUGAAUGGAAUGCAAGCCACAAGAGUCUUUCCUUGAGAAGUUAACUCCCCAAUUUGAGAUUAGCUCCUGUGGUUUGGCUGGCGACACGGUAGAUGUUUAGCAAGCAAUAACAGACAUUUCCCUUUCAUCCCCAGGCAAUACAGCACCCAAACCAAAAAGAAAAAAAUAAAGGGGGUGGGGUGGAGCAUUGUUCUGUCUAAAAACAAAACACAAUAAAAUGGCACAAGUCCACAAUAGACCAUAUUGAUGAACCAUUUCGCAGGGAGAAGCCUGUGGAUUAGGUAGGAGGAUAGCCAGGCCAGCUUCCUCUCCAUGACCUUCCUGCUGAUCACAAAAGGGAAAUGUCAACACACAAUGGAUUGGUUUACUAAAAGAACUGUGCACAUCAGGAUGGAUUUCAGUAGGAGGGGUGGCUGGACAGUUCCAUUGUGGAGCCCAGAGAGCUGACCUUUUCCAUUUGUGUGGUGAGAACACUCAAGAGGAACACUACCGAGUCUAAAAGCAAACACUGGGUCUCCAUGAGCCAAACUUCGGGACACCAUGAUAUGUGAAGUAUUCACCUGCUGGUUUGCCAUUCAUUAAUAAUGUCCACUGAUCACAAUGGUUUGAUGCCACCUGAGAGUGCCAGCCAUAGGGUCCAUUCAGUUUCUUUGUUAGGAGUUUUGCUUCUUGAGAUAGGAUAUUGCUCUAGGGUCUGGUCAGGUCUGAUACUUGUCUCAGUCUCCCCAGGACUGUGAAUACAGACAAAUGCCUACAUGGCGCACUUAAUAUAAGACAAAAAAAAAAAAUGCCUUAUUUUUGAGGAUACGAGUCCUUACAUUUCAGGGAAUAAUCAGUAUUGAAUGUAACACCAAAUCAAAUUCUAAAGUAUAUUAUCCAUUCUCAAAGUUUGCCUUGUGCUCUCCCCUCCCCUCCCUUUGGUAAAUGCCUGCAACCAGUGCUGACCCUGGGAAUUCACUUUUCCAUCCCACCACCAUGCCUUUGUUCCAACAUGAAUUUCACACAGUAUGUAGCCUUUUGGGUGGAGUUACUUUUCAGUGACUUGCUGUUUUGGAACUCUACCUGUGUUGCUGCAGGUAUCCAUUCUAAAUUCUACCCACUGUAUAUCUAGAUGACAAUUUAAUUCAUUCAGCAGUUGGUGAAUAUUGUACUGUUUUCAGAUCCUACAAAAAUUCUACCUGUAUCUACAUGAAAGUUUCUUUGUCUUAGACUUGUUCAAGAAAUCGCUGAAUCAACACUAUGCUUAAAAUUGUAGUGAUAGCCACUAUCGUUUUGCAAAAUUUCUGACCACUUGACAGCAAUGCAUAAUUUUUCUGUUCAGCUAAUGUCACUUGUAUUUAGUAUUUAAAUAUUGC
RNAcentral lists this long non-coding RNA (2317 nucleotides) under Cricetulus griseus (Chinese hamster). RNAcentral describes it as "lncRNA (ENSCGRG00015037436.1)". Lineage: Eukaryota; Metazoa; Chordata; Mammalia; Rodentia; Cricetidae. The record is from RNAcentral.